Molecule: ribosomal RNA, 405 nt
Filed under: uncultured soil bacterium
Lineage: Bacteria
Description: bacterial SSU rRNA
Rfam family: Bacterial small subunit ribosomal RNA
Source: RNAcentral
AGAACGAACGCUGGCGGCAUGCCCAAUACAUGCAAGUCGAACGAACUCUUCGGAGUUAGUGGCGCACGGGUGCGUAACGCGUGGGAAUCUGCCCCUUGGUUCGGAAUAACAGUUGGAAACGACUGCUAAUACCGGAUGAUGACGAAAGUCCAAAGAUUUAUCGCCAAGGGAUGAGCCCGGCGUAGGAUUAGCUAGUUGGUGAGGUAAAGGCUCACCAAGGCAACGAUCCUUAGCUGGUCUGAGAGGAUGAUCAGCCACACUGGGACUGAGACACGGCCCAGACUCCUACGGGAGCAGCAGGUAGGAAUAUGGACAAUGGGCAAAGCCUGAUCCGAGCAAUGACCGCGUGAGUGAUGAAGCUUAGGUGUAAGCUCUUUACCGAGUAUGAAUAUGACUAGUAUACGG